Molecule: ribosomal RNA, 450 nt
Filed under: uncultured bacterium
Lineage: Bacteria
Description: partial 16S ribosomal RNA
Rfam family: Bacterial small subunit ribosomal RNA
Source: RNAcentral
GUGGGGAAUCUUCCGCAAUGGACGAAAGUCUGACGGAGCAACGCCGCGUGAGUGAAGAAGGUUUUCGGAUCGUAAAGCUCUUUCGUUAGGGACGAACGUGCUCUUUGUGAAUAAUGAGGAGUAAUGACGGUACCUAAAUAAGAAGCCACGGCUAACUACGUGCCAGCAGCCGCGGUAAUACGUAGGUGGCAAGCGUUGUCCGGAAUUAUUGGGCGUAAAGCGCGCGCAGGCGGGAUAUCAAGUCUGUCUUAAAAGUUCGAGGCUCAACCUCGUGAGGGGACAGAAACUGGUAGUCUUGAGUGGCGGAGAGGAAAGUGGAAUUCCAAGUGUAGCGGUGAAAUGCGUAGAGAUUUGGAAGAACACCAGUGGCGAAGGCGACUUUCUGGACGAUGUCUGACGCUGAGGCGCGAAAGCUAGGGGAGCGAACGGGAUUAGAUACCCUGGUAGUCC